CAGCCGCCGCGGGAAUACAGAGGGUGCGAGCGUUAAUCGGAUUUACUGGGCGUAAAGCGUGCGUAGGCGGCUAAUUGAGUUGGAUGUGAAAUCCCCGAGCUUAACUUGGGAAUUGCAUUCGAUACUGGUUAGCUAGAGUGUGGGAGAGGAUGGUAGAAUUCCAGGUGUAGCGGUGAAAUGCGUAGAGAUCUGGAGGAAUACCGAUGGCGAAGGCAGCCAUCUGGCCUAACACUGACGCUGAGGUACGAAAGCAUGGGGAGCAAACAGGAUUAGAGACCCCCGUAGUCCCUGUCUCUUAUAC
This 301-nucleotide ribosomal RNA is filed under the name uncultured bacterium. RNAcentral's name for it is "partial 16S ribosomal RNA". It matches the Rfam family "Bacterial small subunit ribosomal RNA", at positions 509 to 807 of the family's 1533-position model. The record is from RNAcentral.